This 365-nucleotide long non-coding RNA is filed under the name Nicotiana tabacum (common tobacco). Its description in RNAcentral is "long non-coding RNA (NTAB_LNC006836)". Lineage: Eukaryota; Viridiplantae; Streptophyta; Magnoliopsida; Solanales; Solanaceae. The record is from RNAcentral.
AACCGGUCCAUGGUUACGAACGUAAUGAAGUGGGACCGGUGUGAUAAAGCCGUGGUGCAUGAGCCGGUUCAACGGUGGUUCGGAGUUAAAUGGAUGCUUUCCGGUGAGACGAAUCAUGGAAAAGUUGCGUUCAAUCCAAUUAUCAGCGGUACCUUCGUCCCUAGUGUCAUGAACAGAUGGCUCUAACUCUGAAUUCCCUUUUUUAAUCAUUUGAAGGUACUCAUUUUUUUCGUCAUCAUCAUCGUCGUCUUCACUCGACGAGUAAUCAAGGUAAAUGGUGGAAUUUGGUUUCUUUUGGAAAUUAGUACUGUUGGGCGAAGGGAAGUUGCAGCCACGAACCGGGGAAUCAGACCGGGGCUUGAAAG